RNAcentral lists this ribosomal RNA (782 nucleotides) under uncultured Lactobacillus sp. RNAcentral describes it as "bacterial SSU rRNA". It matches the Rfam family "Bacterial small subunit ribosomal RNA", at positions 28 to 776 of the family's 1533-position model. Lineage: Bacteria; Bacillati; Bacillota; Bacilli; Lactobacillales; Lactobacillaceae. The record is from RNAcentral.
GAUGAACGCUGGCGGCGUGCCUAAUACAUGCAAGUCGAACGAAACUUCUUUAUCACCGAGUGCUUGCACUCACCGAUAAAGAGUUGAGUGGCGAACGGGUGAGUAACACGUGGGCAACCUGCCCAAAAGAGGGGGAUAACACUUGGAAACAGGUGCUAAUACCGCAUAACCAUAGUUACCGCAUGGUAACUAUGUAAAAGGUGGCUAUGCUACCGCUUUUGGAUGGGCCCGCGGCGCAUUAGCUAGUUGGUGGGGUAAAGGCUUACCAAGGCAAUGAUGCGUAGCCGAACUGAGAGGUUGAUCGGCCACAUUGGGACUGAGACACGGCCCAAACUCCUACGGGAGGCAGCAGUAGGGAAUCUUCCACAAUGGGCGAAAGCCUGAUGGAGCAACGCCGCGUGGGUGAAGAAGGUCUUCGGAUCGUAAAACCCUGUUGUUAGAGAAGAAAGUGCGUGAGAGUAACUGUUCACGUUUCGACGGUAUCUAACCAGAAAGCCACGGCUAACUACGUGCCAGCAGCCGCGGUAAUACGUAGGUGGCAAGCGUUGUCCGGAUUUAUUGGGCGUAAAGCGAGUGCAGGCGGUUCAAUAAGUCUGAUGUGAAAGCCUUCGGCUCAACCGGAGAAUUGCAUCAGAAACUGUUGAACUUGAGUGCAGAAGAGGAGAGUGGAACUCCAUGUGUAGCGGUGGAAUGCAUAGAUAUAUGGAAGAACGCCAGUGGCGAAGGCGGCUCUCUGGGUCUGCAACUGACGCUGAGGCUCGAAAGCAUGGGUAGCGAACAGG